This 1891-nucleotide long non-coding RNA is filed under the name Athene cunicularia (burrowing owl). RNAcentral describes it as "lncRNA (ENSACUG00000004235.1)". Lineage: Eukaryota; Metazoa; Chordata; Aves; Strigiformes; Strigidae. The record is from RNAcentral.
CCAGCUCAGGGAACAGCCCAGCCAUUCUACCCCUACCAAGGACUGAGGCUCUGUGUUUCUUUCCCCCCCAGAUAACGUUCAUCCCUGUGGAUCUUGAGGCCGAGCGGUUCCUGGACCACAAACCCAUGGUGCUGCCGGAGAGGGAUGCCCGCUUGAUUACACCCUGCCCCAACCAAGAGGCCACCAGCACCUACGAGAAAAGCUUGCCAUCCUACGAGCAGAUCCAGAGGCAGGAGGUGGGCUUGGACUCACUCCCACCCACGGGCCAGCCCAGACCCCGCAGCUGCUCCCAACUGGCCGUGCAGGCGAAAGCAGAGGUCCACCGAGAGAUGGGGGGUGAUGGAGAACCCCCCCCAGACCUGGCACCGGCAGCAGGCAGCUGCCCCCCCCGGCCAGCCCUGGGGGACGCGCCGCUGGCGUCGCUCCUGGAGGAUAUGGACACACCAUCGCUGGAGGGCUCCGCGCCUGGCAGCCCCCUGCCACGGGGUCGACACCCUCCACCAUCCACCGCCCGCCCCGGCUCUCCAGCGGGGAGACAGCAGCCCAGUUCCUCCCGCAAAGGCGCUGGGGAGGAGGAUGACCUUUAUUAUGGGCUCCAAGAGGGGCCUGAUGCUUUGCUCGAGGAUAGCGACUGCCUGUUUGAGCCCGAAAACUGAUUUCCCAGAGAGAACGGCCGCUUGGCAUGGACUCAGCUUGUGGAGGGGACGCAAAGGUCGCAGCCUGGAAGAGAAGGGGCUGGGACUGACCCCUGAAGGCGCAGGGUCUGCGGCGUGGAGGAGCCCUCAGGGUCCUGCCUGUCCCCUGCGCCAUGCGCCCACCCAGCCGCAGGAGAGUCUGCCGCCCCACAAAACCCGAGGAGAGCCCUGCCACGUCCUGAAUUUCUGCAACUGAGGGGACAAGGCUCCCCCUCACCAGAGCCCGUUGGGUGGGUGCAGAUAAGUCCAAAUGCUGGGCUGGGCAGAAUCCAGGCUCAAUAAUGAGCUUAGGAAGGGAAAAGAUGAGCUUUGCUGCUUGAAACAGGAACAGCGUUUAGGUAGGUAAAGAUGUAUUCACCCACCUUUCCAAGGCAGAGAUGUCUGCAAAGCCUUUUUCCCACUUACCAAAGCCCCCGUGGAAUUAAAAUGAGAUCCUGGUACUCCGGCAGCAGGCAGCCUUCAUGUCUCCAGGUUGGGAGAGGGGUGAUGGGGGCAGACAGACCGGCUGUCCCCCAUCUCCUGGACAAAUUUCCAGCGCCAGCAGGGACAGAGGAUGAGCUGAAACCCUGGUGACAGCUGUGGCUUCUCGAGGACCUGCUCAAGGUGGUGCUUUGGGGCAACAUUUUCUCUCUCUGCCAGGUUGGUGUCAACAGCCACAGCGCUACCGGUGGCUCUGCAUGCCAGAGCCCCCGUUCCCAAACUCCCUCUGAAUAAUAAGUGUUCGUUGAAGGCUCGUUGAUGGAGAUAAGCCUGGUUUGUCACCAUGACAGGGGCAACCCAGCAGCUUUUGAGCAGCCUCUUUGCAACAUGCAGAGACAGCAGCGCCGGCGGGAGCUGCUGCGACCUCCGCCUGCCCUUGGGCUGCUCGGGGCCGCAGGGAUCUCUGUGGCUGAGCCUUCCCGGGGUGGCUGCGUUCGGAUCAAAGCAUCAACGGAUCCAGCAGUGUGGGGAUGCUGAGAGUCCCUCUCCCUGUUUUGGGAAAGCUGGGCUGGAUGCUGCUUGGGCACCCGGCACGGCCCCAGGAGGCUGGAGGCACAAAUUUGUGCUCUUAUUUAUUGCUCAAAUGUAUGCUCUUAUUUAUUGUUCAAAUUUAUGCUCUUAUUUAUUGCUCUUCAACAAAUUUAUGGGGGUUGACCAACCCAAAAGCAGGGGGGGAGAUGUUCUCCGGCACCUGAGGGGGAUGGAGCAUGGAAACG